RNAcentral lists this long non-coding RNA (585 nucleotides) under Oryza sativa tropical japonica subgroup. Its description in RNAcentral is "lncRNA OsCMeo_09g0004350". Lineage: Eukaryota; Viridiplantae; Streptophyta; Magnoliopsida; Poales; Poaceae. The record is from RNAcentral.
AGGGCCAUGAGGAGCGGUGGCGGUGGCCGAGCAACUCGCCGCGGGCAGGGAACAGCGCCCCGGCGUGCCGCGCCAGCGCUACCGCGGAGCUCCUGUGAUGCUCCACCUCCGAGGUGGGACGGCCCCUCUGAUCCGGCUCCUCCUCUCGCCCCUUCUCUCACGCCCAACCCUAACCCGGCUAUGGCGCCCUUGUUGCCGGCACCUCUCUUGCUGCCGCUGGUGCCACAUCCGAGGGAGCAAGAGCAGCAGGAGAAUGCUGAGGAAGGAGAAGAACAGAGGCCGAGGCCGACGCCGACAACCAUGGAAAAGAAGGUUGUAGAGCCUUCAAAGAAGAAGAAAUUUGUGGAUUUGAAAUCAAUGUGGGGUAGAGCUGAAAAGAAACUGAAGUCUAUAGUUGAUAGCAAUAAUAUUUCUGAGCAUUCAGCUAGGAGGAAAGACCCUGAACCUGCUACUAUACAUGCACCUGCAACUAAAGAGAUUGGGUGUAGUAGAGCAUGUGAAGUUGGAUUUGCACAAACAGAAACUCAAGUGCCCUAUGAAAGUAUAGAAGUAUCAAGACCUCAAGAUGUAGAUGGCAGCAUAGAA